Molecule: unclassified non-coding RNA, 575 nt
Filed under: Hevea brasiliensis (rubber tree)
Lineage: Eukaryota; Viridiplantae; Streptophyta; Magnoliopsida; Malpighiales; Euphorbiaceae
Source: RNAcentral
GGUAAAUGCCUUUCAUUUUCAGCUUGGAGAUCAAGACCAUAAUAAUGCUUUAGAACCACAGACAACUCCUCCGAGGAAAGGCUUGUCAAAUGACCUGAGAAUGAACUGACAGGACGUUCUGAAUCUAUAUUCUUAAAUGGAACAGGCACAUGGUCUGUCAUCAUUUCAUUAGAAUUUCCACAGUCCAUUUCAACAAUUCUGUUUGGAGAAAAACACUCAGCAUCAACUGUACCCUUCUCUGCUGCUGAUGUGCUUGGAUUUGUUACUUCACACAAUGAGACAGUAGCCAUUUGGUGGCCUUCAUUAUCUUUCUCCAGAGGCUGGUCUUUCUCCACUUCAAUUUCCGCUUGGGAAUGACCCACUGCAUUUUCAUUGUUCACUGCCAUCAUUCUAUUUUCAAGUUUUGCAUCCUCUAAGCCAUUAUCACAUUGCUCUUGCUCAGUCAAAAUUGCCUUGGAUUCUGGAGUAGUAGCAUUAUCUGAAGAUCCUUUCAGAUUAAACUGAGCAUUAUUUGAACAAGACUGUAAAGGUUGACCAAGUGAGACAGACAAAGAUGUACGGGAGCUUGACCUUGC